AUGCCCUGUUCAGAAUCUGACUUGUCUUACAAGGGUGUUCUCUUCCACCUGAGUAGGCCCCAACAUCACAUGUGUGGCUGCCCACCCUGCUCAGCCCCAUUAGAGACUUUAGAGCUGAGUUGCUCUGGAAGGGACAAGAAGAACAACGGAAGGGAAAAACACAUCUUACUACCCUCACUCGGCAAGACAUCAGGCAAAUCAUUCCCAGUCACUUGGUGGAGAAGUCAGCAAAAGCUGCCGAAAGCCAGCGCCGAUCCAACUGACCCAUUUUACAGAUGAGCUGAGCCUGAGAGAAUCCUACACGAUGUACCUUAACUUUCAGGGGUUAUUCAACUUACAAAGCACUGUAGUGAGAUCUCUGAAAAGAAAGAAUGUGUCUUGCUUUUAUUUACAGGGGAUCAUGGAGGGGGGACUUAGCAAGAGACCUUGAUCUUGUACUGUCUUGUUAGCUCUUAAUUCUGAAAUAUAUAAUAAACUCAGAACUUUUAGAAUUAGAACUGUAUAAUCAUGGAAAUACACAAGCCUCAUCGGUCUGGUUUGUCUUAUUUAUUUAUUUAUUUAUUUAUUUAUUUAUUUAUUUAGAUUUUAAAAAUUUAUUCAUGAAAGACACACAGAGUGAGGCAGAGACAUAGGCAGAGGGGGAGGGAGAGGCAGGCUCCCUGCAGGGAGCCCAAUGUGGGACUCGAUCCCAGGACCCUGGGAUCACAACCUGAGCAGAAGGCAGACGCUCAACCACGGAGCCACCCAGGCAUCCUUAUCUUCCUAUUUAGCGAAUGAGCUAAGGGAACCUGUAGAGAUGUAUUCACGAUUGGUUCAGCUUGGUAUCCGACAUGGAGCUAGACACAGAGGCCCACACCAGAACUCGGAAGCCAUGUGCUGACCAACAGUGCUACAAUGAAUAGUUGUGGGGAAGGGGAGCAUAUCAAAUUGAAACUUUUCUAUGUGAAUGUUUAUUAUAGGAACACAUUAAAUAGGAGACUAAAAUUGGUACAGCAGCACAUUGAUAUUUGUGGAAGAACUCUAAAGUAAAUAUCCCACAAUAUCACCUUCUUUUUUAAAUUUUUUUAAAAAAUAUUUAUUUAUUUGAGAGAGAGGGGGCACAAGCAGGGAGAGUGGCAGAGGGAGAAGAAGACUUCCUUCUGAGCAGGGAGCUCUAUCCGGUGCUUGAUCCCAGGACCCUGAGAUCAUGACCUGAGCUGAAGGCAGACACUUAACUGAUGAGCCACCUGGGCACCUUGACUUGCUAAUGGAGUUGGCUGAGGACUACAGUGAGCAGCAUAAGGGACCCUGGACACUCUCCAGCUCACCUGCUUUGUGUUCCCUGGGGACAGGAUAAGGGCACUGGACAGUAGGGGCAGGCAGGCUGCUCCACCAGGAUGCCAGGCUGGAUCUGUGCCAGCUCAUAGCCAGCCAGACAACACAGUGGGCCUGUUGAGCUUUCACAGGAUCAGAACGCAGAAGGAUCAUUCUAGGUCUCCCUCAUGGACUGGCCAUUGUUACUCACACCACACGCUGCUAAAGGAAGCGUUGUCUCUAAAAUAGGAUUGGUUUAAAAAUAGCAAUCGAACCUCGGGCAUGGAAUGUACUUCUGCUAUACCAGACACCAUCACAUCUGCCUACUUAUUUGAUCCCCACAAUGAUCCAACAAAAUUGACAGGGGUGUCCAGGAGAGAGACUAACUCAUUUCUGGGACAGGUAUCUGGCAGGAGUUCAGCUUGUGCUUGAAGAAAGGAAAAAAGGAUGGCAGGAAGUGAGGGAGGGAGGGAUCAAAGCUGAGGGUUGUGUCUUGAUUUUUUAGAGAAGGAAAGCUCAAGGAGAAAAUGAUCUACCCCAAGUGACAGCACUAAUUGCAGUGGGGAGACUGUGGAGUCCUGGUCUAGUGCUUUUCCUUCCAGUGCCUCUCAGCUCUUUGCUGACAGGUGUACUGGGGGGUGAUCUUUUAAAAGUGAAUUGGCCCACAGGGUUCCAGUCUUCCACUGAUAGCUGUAAAGGGGGUAAAUCUAUCCUUCUGUAAAGUACACGGGAGCCAGCCACUCCCAGGAAAUGUCUGAGAGAGAGCAACAGGGUGGCUGUGCGAUGCCACCAAAGGAAUUCUGGUUAUGUCUACUCUAUAAUACAAGCUCACAAUGUGCCUUGCCAAUCUCUGCCCCUCUCCGGGCCACAGUUUCCUCAGGGAUAUAAAUAGGGUCUUCAUGACCAGUGUAUUAUUUCCUGUCUCCAAUCUCUGCCUUAAAGUCCAUCCUGGGUACCUUCCAGAAGUUUUCCAUCUUGCUGAUGGCUGAGUCUCCCACACUGUGCCCAGGAUCAACCUCAGGAGAACAUUGUGGGGCUGGGGGAGGAGCUUGGGAGAGAAGGCUGCAGGAGUCCUGGGGUGUAUAUUGCCAUCACCCUAAAAGUGUCUUGCUGCCUCCACCUCCCCUGUGGCCUUGUUAGCAUAGAAGAAGAGAUUCUACAGCCAACAAUCAGCAUCAGUGGUCCCUACAAUAAGACUGCUUAGUGUUUUGACUUGUCCUUUUAGGUAGAAAGAUAUGAUUCCUUAUGACCUUAUUCUUUGUUUUUAUUUUAAAACUAUCCUCUCAGAAAUAAUUCCAUAGUACAGAAUUUUUUUCUAGGAUUCAAGAUAUGUGAGGAAAGAGAGGAAGGAGGGGUGAACAGAAGCAGAUGUCUAAAGCAAGAGGAGAAGAUACUUGCUGAUGGUAACUGGGUAAACCCUGAGUGUCUGAUUGAUACAAAUCAAAUGUAUCCAUCCAGCAAACCUCUCCUGGAAACUCAUUGUUUGCAGGAUUCUGGAUGGACACACAGGAAGUUGACAUGUAUGUGGCAGCCUUCACCCAUAUGGAAUCAGGAAGUCUUUGGGCAAACAAUAACUUGCUUAUGAACAGAGUAGAAUCUAUGAGCCGGCUGAGUAGCUACUAAGGAGCCUGAGCUCCACAAAGAUAAUGGAGGGUGUCUGGUGCCGUCAUGGGCAUCCAGCCUACCAGAUUAGAGAGAUCUCACUGAACAUCCCCAAUUUCAGCUGUCACACAGAAAAGGUCACACUUACGAGCAUGGCUACUCUGGCUGCAGUACAGCCUACUCUAGACUCAUCCUAAUAAAGCCUCAUAAGAAUCAGACUAUAUCUACCAAUAAAUUAACUGCCUGUUGGCACAAAAAUAGAUGGUUGCUAGAUGAAGACAUCAUUAUUUGGAGUCUUAACAAUGCAGCAUUCAUAAUUCCAGCAUAAAGUCAUAAAUUGAUGGACAUGUGAUAAACAGGAAAAUGUGAGCCACAAUCAAGACAAGAAAAGCCAAUAGAAAAUUACCCUGAUAAAAUCCAAGUGUGAUAACUAGAAGGAGACAAGGAAUUUUAAAAAGCCAUUAUAAAUAUAUUAAGGAAUUAAUGGCAAAAAUGCUUAUAAAAAACAGUUAUAAUAUUUCAGGAGAAUAGUGGAAACUGCAAAAAGAGCCAAACUAAAGUGUAAAAUGUCCAAAAUGAAAAUUGAAUAGAUCUAACAGAUGACAUAAAACAUAAAACAAAAUAGUCAGUGAAGUUGCAAAUUGAUUAAUGAAAAUAAUCAAUUCUAAAAAAGAAGAAACAGGUUGAAAAAAAUUGACUUGUGAGAUGAGAUCAAGCAAUCUAAAAGUGUGUAACUAAAGUUCCUGAAGGAGAAAAAUAGGGCAAAAAUUAUUUGAAAAAUUAGCAUUUAAAAUUUUUCCAAAUUUGAUAAAAACCUAUAACCUUAUAGAUUCAAAUAGUUCAGUGAACCAAUGAUGUCUUCAUCUAGCAACCAUCUAUUUUUGUGCCAAUAGGCAGUUAAUUUAUUGGUAGAUAUAGUCUGAUUCUUAUGAGGCUUGAUUUUAAACUUUAUUAGGAUGAGUCUAAAGUAGGCUGUACUGCAGCCAGAGUAGCCAUGCUCAUAAGUGUGACCUUUCCUGUGUGACAGCUGAAAUUGGGGAAACUUUGCCGUUUCCUCUUCUCUCCAAGAAACCCACACCCUGGCAUGUCAUACUGAAAAUCAAAGAUAAAGAGGAAAUCUUAGAAAUGGCAAAAAAACCCACAAAAACCAAACAAGCCUACAUUGACUAUAGGUAAGCCAAAACAUGAAUAAUGACUGACCUCACAGCAGAAAAAAAAUGGAGACAUGAGUAUAAUGGGGCAACAUCUGGAAAGUACAGAAUAAAAAUACUUGCCAACUAAUAAUUAAUUACCCAGUUAAUGCUCUUCAAAAGUGAAGGCAAAGACCUUUUCAGAUGCCUGACAAUUAAUAGAAUAUAUUACCAGCAGAUCCACAUUAUAAGAAAUAAAAGAAGCUCUUCAGGCUGAAGAAAAUUGACCCCAAAUACGAAUUUAGAGCUACAGGGAAAGAGAGAGCAAGAGAGCGAGUGAGAGAGAGAAUACUGGGAAUAGUAAAUAUGUUGGCAAGGAGACAGGAAUACAGUUUUUAUUCUCUUAGUUUCUUUUAAAGGCUUAUAUGUGUAAUACUGUGUGUGUAUGUGUGGGGGGUAUAAAGUAUGUAGAUGUGGUGUAUGUGACAACAAUAGAACCAAGGAUGGUGAUAAAUGGAACCAUAUUGCUACAAGGUUCUUACAUUCUGAGAAUAGGAAGAAUAGGAACUCAGAAUAGAUUGUGAGGAGUUUAGGACUUGUAUUGUAAUCCCUACAGGAACAGCUGAAAGAGUGAAAACCAAUGUAGGACUUGGCAGACACUGAGCUCUGCCUCCUACGUUCCCUUCUGAUGAAAGACUCAUUGCCCCAGGGGCUAGGAGUGGUGUUGGCAGAUGUUACCUACAGAGAGCCAACUUGCCCUCCCCUUUCUUGGGCAGCACACAUGAAAUGAAAUGACCCAUCAGUUGAAAAGUAUAAGGGUCUGCUAUUUUGGCCCAAUCAGGACAACACUGAAGGACCAGUGUAGUUCUAGAAGUUUCUGUGAGGUCUUCUGAGGCUAUUGUUGGACCAGGGGUGUACCUCAACCUCUCCCCCUACCCCAUUCUCCUUCUUUUUCCUUCCUUCUCCGGGCAUGAUUCUCAAGGGCAUUCCUGAACAA
This 5022-nucleotide long non-coding RNA is filed under the name Canis lupus familiaris (dog). RNAcentral's name for it is "lncRNA (ENSCAFG00040000173.1)". Lineage: Eukaryota; Metazoa; Chordata; Mammalia; Carnivora; Canidae. The record is from RNAcentral.